UUCAGCAGUACACAUACUAAAGUUAAAAAGAUUAGCAAGGUCUGAACUCAAGGAUAAUGUGAAAAUUUAUGAAAUGUUUCAUA
This 83-nucleotide small nuclear RNA is filed under the name Cervus elaphus hippelaphus. The record is from RNAcentral. Lineage: Eukaryota; Metazoa; Chordata; Mammalia; Artiodactyla; Cervidae.